UACAGAGGAUGCAAGCGUUAUCCGGAAUGAUUGGGCGUAAAGCGUCCGCAGGUGGCUGUGUAAGUCUGCUGUCAAAGAGCAAAGCUCAACUUUGUAAAGGCAGUGGAAACUACACGGCUAGAGUGCGUUCGGGGCAGAGGGAAUUCCUGGUGUAGCGGUGAAAUGCGUAGAGAUCAGGAAGAACACCGGUGGCGAAGGCGCUCUGCUAGGCCGCAACUGACACUGAGGGACGAAAGCUAGGGGAGCGAAUGGG
RNAcentral lists this ribosomal RNA (253 nucleotides) under uncultured bacterium. RNAcentral describes it as "partial 16S ribosomal RNA". It matches the Rfam family "Bacterial small subunit ribosomal RNA", at positions 524 to 776 of the family's 1533-position model. The record is from RNAcentral.